Molecule: ribosomal RNA, 163 nt
Filed under: Ulva sp. LYG1
Lineage: Eukaryota; Viridiplantae; Chlorophyta; Ulvophyceae; Ulvales; Ulvaceae
Description: partial 18S ribosomal RNA
Rfam family: Eukaryotic small subunit ribosomal RNA
Source: RNAcentral
ACUGCCGUCGCUCCUACCGAUUGACGUGCUGGUGAAGCGUUAGGACUGGAACUUUGGGCCGGUUUCCCUGCCCAUCGUUUCGGGAAUUUCGUUGAACCCUCCCGUUUAGAGGAAGGAGAAGUCGUAACAAGGUCUCCGUAGUGAACCUGCGGAGGGAUCAUUG